GGUGAUUUCCCUCUUUAAGUUUUCGUUAUGAUGCAGUUAUGCGUGCUGUGUCCUUUAAGAGUUUGUGCACGCGCACGAUAGAGAGAGUGCGCGUCAGAGGGGAACAGAGAGCGCGCUGAUUGAAGCAGCAGGUAAAAGUGAGGAGAAAAUAGUUGAUAAGAAAUUGUUAAAUGGAUAUAAUCCAGGCUGAUUAUCAACUCGUGGACCUGUGGUGGUUUUAGUUGUGUGACUGCACCGAGUGGAUGACUUAAGUCAGUGUUUAUAUUAGUGUUUGUUGCCGCAUAUGAGAGAUCUCCGGUGGGGGAGGGGAUUCAGGCCUACUUCGACGGAGAUUGAGCAGGGGAGAACAAGCUGGUGAGAUCGCAUGUGCCAGUUUCCACGUGAUUGAUAAUCCGGAGUCUCAUAUAACAAUAUGAAGUAAUGACUGAUUUGAUCAGAGCACAGUGGGGACCUGCCUCUUCGGUAAUGAGGACGAAAGCUAAUUAUGAGACCCUCAGGUUUCCUCCUGCUGGGACGCUGAGGUUACCGCUGACCUGUGAGGAGAGAUGGGAUGUCUGAAGCAGGAGUUCACAGUGAUGGACCGGCCCAUGGGAGUCCAUUAACAGGUCAGGAGGUGGUGAAAGGAGCAUGGGCUAAAUUCAUUAGCACUCUCCAGCUACCAUCCGAGUGUAUCGAGCGGUGGAACAGAGCGCAAUGCUGCAGGUGUGUGAGUGUGUGUGUGUGUGUGUGUGUGUGUGUGUGUGUGUGUGUGUGUGUCUAUUUCUACCAUUUGUCAACGGAUUGGUUCUUAAUUCAAACUGAUUUGUC
Molecule: long non-coding RNA, 807 nt
Organism: Cyprinus carpio carpio
Lineage: Eukaryota; Metazoa; Chordata; Actinopteri; Cypriniformes; Cyprinidae
Source: Ensembl